This 209-nucleotide ribosomal RNA is filed under the name uncultured archaeon. Its description in RNAcentral is "partial 16S ribosomal RNA". It matches the Rfam family "Archaeal small subunit ribosomal RNA", at positions 462 to 673 of the family's 1478-position model. The record is from RNAcentral.
UAGCCACGGUAAUACCAGCCCCGCGAGUGGUUGGGACGGUUAUUGGGCCUAAAGCGCCCGUAGCCGGCUGGGUAAGUCCCCUGUUAAAUCCAGCGAUUCAAUCGCUGGACUGCGGGGGAUACUGCCUGGCUAGGGGCGGGAGAGGCCGGCGGUAUUCCCGGGUAGGGGUGAAAUCUUAUAAUCCCGGGAGGACCACCAGUGGCGAAGGC